GUGCAGCAGUCGAGAAACCUCCGCAAUGCACGCAAGUGCGACGGGGGGACCCCAAGUGCCACUCUUAACGGGGUGGCUUUUCAGGAGUGUAAAAAGCUCCUGGAAUAAGGGCUGGGCAAGACCGGUGCCAGCCGCCGCGGUAACACCGGCAGCUCGAGUGGUAGCCGCGUUUAUUGGGCCUAAAGCGUCCGUAGCCGGUCCGAUAAGUCUCUGGUGAAAGCCCACAGCUCAACUGUGGGAAUCGCUGGAGAUACUAUCGGACUUGAGGCCGGGAGAGGCUGGAGGUACUCCCAGGGUAGGGGUGAAAUCCUAUAAUCCUGGGAGGACCACCUGUGGCGAAGGCGUCCAGCUGGAACGGACCUGACGGUGAGGGACGAAAGCCAGGGGCGCGAACCGGAUUAGAUACCCUCGUAGUCC
RNAcentral lists this ribosomal RNA (417 nucleotides) under uncultured Methanothermobacter sp. RNAcentral's name for it is "bacterial SSU rRNA". It matches the Rfam family "Archaeal small subunit ribosomal RNA", at positions 330 to 747 of the family's 1478-position model. The record is from RNAcentral. Lineage: Archaea; Methanobacteriati; Methanobacteriota; Methanobacteria; Methanobacteriales; Methanobacteriaceae.